UACGUAGGUGGCAAGCGUUGUCCGGAAUUAUUGGGCGUAAAGCGCGCGCAGGCGGUUCUUUAAGUCUGAUGUGAAAGCCCACGGCUCAACCGUGGAGGGUCAUUGGAAACUGGAGAACUUGAGUACAGAAGAGGAAAGCGGAAUUCCACGUGUAGCGGUGAAAUGCGUAGAGAUGUGGAGGAACACCAGUGGCGAAGGCGCUUUCUGGUCUGUAACUGACGCUGAGGCGCGAAAGCGUGGGGAGCAAACAGG
Molecule: ribosomal RNA, 252 nt
Filed under: uncultured bacterium
Lineage: Bacteria
Description: partial 16S ribosomal RNA
Rfam family: Bacterial small subunit ribosomal RNA
Source: RNAcentral